GACGAACGCUGGCGGCGUGCUUAACACAUGCAAGUCGAACGGAAAGGCCCUGCUUUUGUGGGGUGCUCGAGUGGCGAACGGGUGAGUAACACGUGAGUAACCUGCCCUUGACUUUGGGAUAACUUCAGGAAACUGGGGCUAAUACCGGAUAUGAGCUCCUGCUGCAUGGUGGGGGUUGGAAAGUUUCGGCGGUUGGGGAUGGACUCGCGGCUUAUCAGCUUGUUGGUGGGGUAGUGGCUUACCAAGGCUUUGACGGGUAGCCGGCCUGAGAGGGUGACCGGCCACAUUGGGACUGAGAUACGGCCCAGAAUCCUACGGGAGGCAGCAGUGGGGAAUAUUGCACAAUGGGCGGAAGCCUGAUGCAGCAACGCCGCGUGCGGGAUGACGGCCUUCGGGUUGUAAACCGCUUUCGCCUGUGACGAAGCGUGAGUGACGGUAAUGGGUAAAGAAGCACCGGCUAACUACGUG
Molecule: ribosomal RNA, 468 nt
Filed under: uncultured bacterium
Lineage: Bacteria
Description: partial 16S ribosomal RNA
Rfam family: Bacterial small subunit ribosomal RNA
Source: RNAcentral